UACGUAGGUGGCGAGCGUUGUCCGGAUUUACUGGGCGUAAAGAGCGCGCAGGCGGUCGAUUUAGUCGGAUGUGAAAGCCCCCGGCUCAACUGGGGAGGGUCAUUCGAUACUGAUCGACUCGAAGGCGGGAGAGGGAAGCGGAAUUCCCGGUGUAGUGGUGAAAUGCGUAGAUAUCGGGAGGAACACCAGUGGCGAAGGCGGCUUCCUGGCCCGUUCUUGACGCUGAGGCGCGAAAGCUAGGGGAGCAAACGGG
This 253-nucleotide ribosomal RNA is filed under the name uncultured bacterium. RNAcentral describes it as "partial 16S ribosomal RNA". It matches the Rfam family "Bacterial small subunit ribosomal RNA", at positions 524 to 776 of the family's 1533-position model. The record is from RNAcentral.